RNAcentral lists this ribosomal RNA (828 nucleotides) under Ontherus sp. sp148. RNAcentral describes it as "SSU rRNA". It matches the Rfam family "Eukaryotic small subunit ribosomal RNA", at positions 470 to 1255 of the family's 1831-position model. Lineage: Eukaryota; Metazoa; Arthropoda; Insecta; Coleoptera; Scarabaeidae. The record is from RNAcentral.
ACGAAAAAUAACGAUACGGGACUCAUCCGAGGCCCCGUAAUCGGAAUGAGUACACUCUAAACCCUUUAACGAGGAUCAAUUGGAGGGCAAGUCUGGUGCCAGCAGCCGCGGUAAUUCCAGCUCCAAUAGCGUAUAUUAAAGUUGUUGCGGUUAAAAAGCUCGUAGUCGAAUUUGUGUCCCGCGCCGCCGGUUCAUCGCUCGCGGUGUCAACUGGCGUGUCCGCGGGACGUCCUGCCGGUGGGCUCAGCCCCGUACGGGGCGGCCCAAUCUCAAUCCCACCGCGGUGCUCUUCACUGAGUGUCGAGGUGGGCCGGCACGUUUACUUUGAACAAAUUAGAGUGCUUAAAGCAGGCUAAAACAUCGCCUGAAUACUGUGUGCAUGGAAUAAUGGAAUAGGACCUCGGUUCUAUUUUGUUGGUUUUCGGAACCCCGAGGUAAUGAUUAAUAGGAACGGAUGGGGGCAUUCGUAUUGCGACGUUAGAGGUGAAAUUCUUGGAUCGUCGCAAGACGGACAGAAGCGAAAGCAUUUGCCAAAAACGCUUUCAUUGAUCAAGAACGAAAGUUAGAGGUUCGAAGGCGAUCAGAUACCGCCCUAGUUCUAACCAUAAACGAUGCCAGCUAGCGAUCCGCCGACGUUCCUCCGAUGACUCGGCGGGCAGCUUCCGGGAAACCAAAGCUUUUGGGUUCCGGGGGAAGUAUGGUUGCAAAGCUGAAACUUAAAGGAAUUGACGGAAGGGCACCACCAGGAGUGGAGCCUGCGGCUUAAUUUGACUCAACACGGGAAACCUCACCAGGCCCGGACACCGGAAGGAUUGACAGAUUGAGAGC